GUUUUUCCAUUGAAAGCCUAUCCACCAUACAAAGACUUAUGGCUCAGCUAACGAUCUCUAUGCCUUCUACAACAUGUGGCCAGUCUUUAGGCAUUGUUUCAGGCUUUUACUCAGAAAAAUGAGGGAGAAACAACACAUUCAAUGAGUGGACAGUGGAAAUUUCCAGACAUGAAGCCAGCACACGACCGGGAGAGCACCUUUCUUGAUUUUCCUUUUCUAUUGACGAAGCUUUUGUCCGGUUGAAAUACUAUUGAUUAUUUAUGACAAAAACAACUUGAAGAUUGAUUAUAAACAUCGUUUGGCAUGUUUCUACAAACCUUUAUGGUACUUUUUUGAUUUUUCGUCUGUCUGCGCUUUGUGACCGCGCUUUGUUCCAAUGGAAUACUGAACAAAACGCACCAACCAAAUGGAGGUUUUUAGACAUAAAGAGGGACAUUAUCGAACAACAAACAUUUAUUGUGUAACAUGGAGUCUUCGGAGUGCAACCAUAUGAAGAUCAUCAAAGACACAAGAUGUCCGUAACCCGGCCUAGUUCUCUACAGCUUCUGUGAGUGCUCCUACCCAUGCUAUGGCCUCUUUGUCUUCGUCUUCUGACGAUAAUGCGAAAUCGUCAUCAGAAAAUGUGGACCAAAACGCAGCAGGACGUGACACCGGCCUCUGUGAAGACCAUCUCGCCUUUGUCCCAGACCACCUCUGCUACAGCCUUUGUGAAGACCACCACUGUCUCUGUUGUCUCUCAGGGCACCGCUAGCUCUGCUAUAGCCUCUAAGAGGAACCUCAGAGAGCUGAUUGGUGUGUGAACUACCUGCUCAGGCAGACUGGGAAAGCCAUGCAGGACAUGAACCCCAACUCGGAGGAUACUGAUUCAAUGAAAUUACGUUGGACCAACAUGGAAUAGAUGUUGAAUUGACGUCUGUGUCCAGUGGGCUAUUAUCCCUACCACGUUAGAAGUUCAAAAUGGCAAUAGAAAUGCCUGUCAUCUUAUCUUCUGCUCCUCUGUGAACUGUUUCCUCAUCCUCUCUUUCCAAGCACAGCAGGGAGGGACUGGAUGUCUUGGACUGGCCCUGAUAAACACCAAACACAGGCCAGGUCACAGAGAGGCUGUGUCAGCAUCACACAGCUUGGUUGGCAAACACCAACAGUAAAACAUGUGUGGAUUUUGGUUUUACUAUCCUUGUGCAGACCAGAUGUCCUCACAAGGAUUGUAAAACAAAGAAAAUUGGGGGGACAGUUUGCCGGUCCCAACAAGGAAAAAGGCUAUUUUUGGCUUAGAGGUUAGGUUUAGAGUUAGGGUUAGAAUUAGGGUUAGGGGUUAUGGGUUAAGGUUAGAAGUUAGGGUUAGGUUUUGGGGUUAAUAGGGUUAAGGUUAGGUUAGGGUUAGGAGUUAGGCAAAAUAGGAUUUUGAAUGAGAAUCAAUUGUUUGGUGCCCACAAGGAUAGUGUGUGUGUGUGUGUGUGUGUGUGAGUGUGUGUGUUUAAGAGUGCAUGUAUGCAUGUCUGAACGUGCAUGUGUGCGUGUCUAAACGCACCUGCCUUUGUGUGUGCAAGCAUGCCCGUGUACCCAUGCACGUGUACAAGGCGUGCGUGUGCAUACAGACCUGUGUGAGGGAGGGAGAGAGAGAGGAGGGACUGUGAGACUGUGGUUGACCAGACGUGCAUGUUUGUGAUUGCCUCUAUAGCGGGACUGUGAAGGUCAUACAAAAGAGAUGGAUUCAUCUUAGGUUUUCCUUUCACUCCCAACCACGUUCCAUUCAAUAUACAAACGGCAAAUAGGAUUGUGGGUUCAGGCACUUGAAUUAAAUAAUUUCAGAAGGCUGCCAGAAAGCAAUAUUAAGGUUUAUUUAUUAAUAUUCACG
RNAcentral lists this long non-coding RNA (1855 nucleotides) under Salmo salar (Atlantic salmon). RNAcentral describes it as "lncRNA (ENSSSAG00000119534.1)". The record is from RNAcentral. Lineage: Eukaryota; Metazoa; Chordata; Actinopteri; Salmoniformes; Salmonidae.